Molecule: long non-coding RNA, 299 nt
Organism: Apis florea (little honeybee)
Lineage: Eukaryota; Metazoa; Arthropoda; Insecta; Hymenoptera; Apidae
Source: RefSeq, a predicted model, not a curated record
UUUAUUAUAAUCAAAAUUUUUAUUUAAACGUUAUACAUUAUUUACAAUAUGUAGCAUAAUAUAUAGUACAAGAUAACGUACUAGUUAUACUACGAAAUAUUAAUUUAUAUAUAAUUAAAUAUAUAUAAUUAGUGUUAUAUAAUUAAUUAGUGAAAUAUAAUUUCGAUUUAUAAAAAAAUGUUUUAUUUGAAAUAAAAAAAUAUUAAUUGUUUAUGUAAAUAAAAAUUUCAUAUAUAAUUUUUUCAAAAUAUUAUUAAGUAUUAUAAAAAUCUUGGAAUCUACGGAAAAUUGAGUACUUU